CUUUCCCUGUGUUAAAGAUACACCCUGUGUUAAUGAUACAGAGAAGAUUAGUAUGGCCCCUGCACAAGGAUGACAUAUAAAUUUGUGAAGUGUUCCAUAUUUUU
Small nuclear RNA from Nyctereutes procyonoides (raccoon dog), 104 nucleotides. The record is from RefSeq and is a predicted model, not a curated record. NCBI's taxonomy places the organism in Eukaryota, Metazoa, Chordata, Mammalia, Carnivora, Canidae.